GACAGCUUCACAUCUCGCCCGGGCGCGGGGCGAGCGACGCUGCGCUCAGCUCACCCCCCAGAGGGCAGCGCUGCCAAGCCGGCGGGCCGGGGAGCGGGGCCUUGGGACGGAGGGGCCAGAUACGCCCACGCUUCUGCGUUCCAAGCAAGCUGCAGGUCCCCCACGUUCAGCUUCUUCUCACACUGAGCCCCGGGCACCAGAGGCCUACCGUCCCCAUGUCCCCCUGGGGCCCCUGCCCCUGCCUCCCCAAGCGUCUCCGGAGUUUCCACGCUUCCAGGAAGACCAGCCUUGCUGACUACAGGCUCCCUGCCAGGUAUUGAAGAUGCCGGAGGACGCCUGCCUCUCCAGUCUUAUCUGGCAGCUCACUUCACUCUGAAAAAUAAGUGCCAGCUCCCUGACAUAAUGACAACAUGGGACACUAUACAGUGACUGCUGUGAGCCAGGCACUGUUCUAAGAGCUCAACACAUAUCUAGCUAUUUGAUCCUCAUCACUACACCAUCUGUUAUCAUCCCCAUUUUACUGAGGACACUGAGGCACAGAGACGGCGGGGCCAGGAUUAAACCCAGUGCAUCCAUUCCUAAGUCUGUCCUUUUAGUCACAAACUCAACUGUUGUAAUUUGUCUUUAUCCAGAGCAGUGGAAAUGUACUAGAGGGUUUUAAGCAGGAGGUUAACACAUUCAGAAGAAUUUUCAAAACUUACACUGAGUGUGAAAGUGAAUUGCAUCGGGGCAAGAGUGGGUGAAGCUGGGCCUGUACGGAGGCCCUUGCAGGGCUGCAGGGGAGAGAUGGCAGAGGACUGCACCUCAGCGGGAGGGGGGGUUGGGGUUGGGAAGAACCGCACUGAUAAAAAAAUCAUCUAAGUGCUUACGGACUUGGUUUAUAUUUCUUAUUUUCAAGUACCUGCUUUCAACUAUGCUCCUUUUCUGCCCCUUGGCAUGCGGACAGAGUCUUUAAUUGUAUGGUCACCUUUGGUAUUCGGAACAUAUGACCCAGUUAAGUUUAAAAUUCAAGUCUCAAGUCAGACUCGAACCUCAUCUGCCCCACCUUUCUCAGCCCGAAGCCGCCUUUGGAUUCGGAGUGGAAAUGACGUGUGGUCUUGUCUUCCGUGCUGUUCUGCCUUCAGCGCCUCGUUGGGAGAGGGGGUGGUGAGUGAGGGCUGACGGGGG
Molecule: long non-coding RNA, 1167 nt
Organism: Manis pentadactyla (Chinese pangolin)
Lineage: Eukaryota; Metazoa; Chordata; Mammalia; Pholidota; Manidae
Exons: 3
Source: RefSeq, a predicted model, not a curated record